AUGAUCACCAAACUUCUCAAUGGUUUUCCAGAUUUUGUUACAUCGCAUUAUAUAAAAUAUCGACUGGUUAGCCAAAGAUGCCAAACUGCGAUGCAAGGUACUUCAAGGUAAGGGUGAUGACGUGGAUUUGUUAGCGAGCCACCAGAGUUGAGAAAACUGGUGAAAGAUCUGCAACAACCAAACAAAAAUAAAGGAAUCAUUACAUAUAUUACUUAAUUGGGUUCAAGGUCUGGUAAGGGUAACGGGAAGGAUGAUUUGUUUGCGAGCCACGUCUCCUUUAAACCUCUUUUCGCCAGGCCCAUUAGGCUGUUCAUCCGAUAGUUGGCCAUUAGCCUUCUCUAUCCUGGGACUCAUCAAUAUAUAGGUACAAUUAGAUUAGAUGUAGCAUCCAACCUCUUUCCGCCAGGCCUAUUAGGCUGUUCAUCCAAU
Molecule: long non-coding RNA, 429 nt
Filed under: Helianthus annuus (common sunflower)
Lineage: Eukaryota; Viridiplantae; Streptophyta; Magnoliopsida; Asterales; Asteraceae
Description: hypothetical non coding rna
Source: RNAcentral